Molecule: ribosomal RNA, 497 nt
Filed under: uncultured bacterium
Lineage: Bacteria
Description: partial 16S ribosomal RNA
Rfam family: Bacterial small subunit ribosomal RNA
Source: RNAcentral
GAUGAACGCUGGCGGCGUGCCUAAUACAUGCAAGUCGAGCGAACAGACGUGGAGCUUGCUCCUCUGACGUUAGCGGCGGACGGGUGAGUAACACGUGGAUAACCUACCUAUAAGACUGGGAUAACUUCGGGAAACCGGAGCUAAUACCGGAUAAUAUAUUGAACCGCAUGGUUCAACAGUGAAAGACGGUUUUGCUGUCACUUAUAGAUGGAUCCGCGCCGCAUUAGCUAGUUGGUAAGGUAACAGCUUACCAAGGCAACGAUGCGUAGCCGACCUGAGAGGGUGAUCGGCCACACGGGAACUGAGACACGGUCCAGACUCCUACGGGAGGCAGCAGUAGGGAAUCUUCCGCAAUGGGCGAAAGCCUGACGGAGCAACGCCGCGUGAGUGAUGAGGGUCUUCGGAUCGUAAAACUCUGUUAUUAGGGAAGAACAAAUGUGUAAGUAACUAUGCACGUCUUGACGGUACCUAAUCAGAAAGCCACGGCUAACUACGUG